Molecule: ribosomal RNA, 497 nt
Filed under: uncultured bacterium
Lineage: Bacteria
Description: partial 16S ribosomal RNA
Rfam family: Bacterial small subunit ribosomal RNA
Source: RNAcentral
GAUGAACGCUAGCGGCAGGCCUAAUACAUGCAAGUCGAGGGAGAAUGUUGGAUUCGUCUGACAUGAAACCGGCGCACGGGUGCAUAACACGUAUGCAACCUACCUUUAACUGGGGUAUAGCUCAGAGAAAUCUGAAUUAAUCCCCCAUAAGACUACGACAUGGCAUCAUGAUGUAGUUAAAGCUCCGGCGGUUAAGGAUGGGCAUGCGGUACAUUAGCUAGUUGGUGAGGUAAUGGCUCACCAAGGCUACGAUGUAUAGGGGGUCUGAGAGGAUGAACCCCCACACUGGUACUGAGACACGACCAGACUCCUACGGGAGGCAGCAGUAGGGAAUAUUGGUCAAUGGACGCAAGUCUGAACCAGCCAUGCCGCGUGAAGGAUGAAGGCCCUAUGGGUCGUAAACUUCUUUUAUUAGGGAAGAAAAAACGGGAUGCGUCCUGUACUGACGGUACUUAAUGAAUAAGGAUCGGCUAACUUCGUGCCAGCCGCCGCGGUAA